GCUUAGGUUAAACCACAAAACCAGUGACCUUCAAAGUCACAAACAAGAGACAGUAUCUCUUAGCCCC
This 67-nucleotide transfer RNA is filed under the name Lerista praepedita. Its description in RNAcentral is "tRNA-Trp". The record is from RNAcentral. Lineage: Eukaryota; Metazoa; Chordata; Lepidosauria; Squamata; Scincidae.